GGACAACCUGCCCUCGGGUGGGGGAUAACCCCGGGAAACUGGGGCUAAUCCCCCAUAGGGGAUGGGUACUGGAAUGUCCCAUCUCCGAAAGCGCUUAGCGCCCGAGGAUGGGUCUGCGGCGGAUUAGGUUGUUGGUGGGGUAACGGCCCACCAAGCCGAAGAUCCGUACGGGCCAUGAGAGUGGGAGCCCGGAGAUGGACCCUGACACGGGUCCAGGCCCUACGGGGCGCAGCAGGCGCGAAACCUCCGCAAUGCGGGAAACCGCGACGGGGUCAGCCGGAGUGCUCGCGCAUCGCGCGGGCUGUCGGGGUGCCUAAAAAGCACCCCAUAGCAAGGGCCGGGCAAGGCCGGUGGCAGCCGCCGCGGUAAUACCGGCGGCCCGAGUGGCGGCCACUUUUAUUGGGCCUAAAGCGUCCGUAGCCGGGCUGGUAAGUCCUCCGGGAAAUCUGGUCGCUUAACGAUCAGACUGCCGGAGGAUACUGCCAGCCUAGGGACCGGGAGAGGCCGGGGGUAUUCCCGGGGUAGGGGUGAAAUCCUGUAAUCCCGGGAGGACCACCUGUGGCGAAGGCGCCCGGCUGGAACGGGUCCGACGGUGAGGGACGAAGGCCAGGGGAGCGAACCGGAUUAGAUACCCGGGUAGUCCUGGCUGUAAACGAUGCGGACUAGGUGUCACCGAAGCUACGAGCUUCGGUGGUGCCGGAGGGAAGCCGUUA
This 713-nucleotide ribosomal RNA is filed under the name uncultured archaeon. Its description in RNAcentral is "bacterial SSU rRNA". It matches the Rfam family "Archaeal small subunit ribosomal RNA", at positions 102 to 817 of the family's 1478-position model. The record is from RNAcentral.